Molecule: ribosomal RNA, 531 nt
Filed under: uncultured Flavobacterium sp.
Lineage: Bacteria; Pseudomonadati; Bacteroidota; Flavobacteriia; Flavobacteriales; Flavobacteriaceae
Description: bacterial SSU rRNA
Rfam family: Bacterial small subunit ribosomal RNA
Source: RNAcentral
AGAGACCGGCGCACGGGUGCGUAACGCGUAUGCAAUCUACCUUUUACAGAGGGAUAGCCCAGAGAAAUUUGGAUUAAUACCUCAUAGUAUUACGACUCGGCAUCGAGAUGUAAUUAAAGUCACAACGGUAAAAGAUGAGCAUGCGUCCCAUUAGCUAGUUGGUAAGGUAACGGCUUACCAAGGCUACGAUGGGUAGGGGUCCUGAGAGGGAGAUCCCCCACACUGGUACUGAGACACGGACCAGACUCCUACGGGAGGCAGCAGUGAGGAAUAUUGGACAAUGGGCGCAAGCCUGAUCCAGCCAUGCCGCGUGCAGGAUGACGGUCCUAUGGAUUGUAAACUGCUUUUAUACAGGAAGAAACACCUCUACGUGUAGAGACUUGACGGUACUGUAAGAAUAAGGAUCGGCUAACUCCGUGCCAGCAGCCGCGGUAAUACGAAGGGGGCUAGCGUUGUUCGGAAUUACUGGGCGUAAAGCGCACGUAGGCGGAUAUUUAAGUCAGGGGUGAAAUCCCGCAGCUCAACUGCGGA